This 252-nucleotide ribosomal RNA is filed under the name uncultured bacterium. RNAcentral describes it as "partial 16S ribosomal RNA". It matches the Rfam family "Bacterial small subunit ribosomal RNA", at positions 524 to 776 of the family's 1533-position model. The record is from RNAcentral.
UACGUAGGGGGCAAGCGUUGUCCGGAAUCAUUGGGCGUAAAGAGCGUGUAGGCGGCUCGGUAAGUCCGCUCUGAAAGCCCGGGGCUCAACCCCGGGAGGCGGGCGGAUACUGUCGGGCUAGAGUCCGGAAGAGGCGAGUGGAAUCCUGGUGUAGCGGUGAAAUGCGCAGAUAUCAGGAGGAACACCAAUGGCGAAGGCAGCUCGCUGGGACGGUACUGACGCUGAGACGCGAAAGCGUGGGGAGCAAACAGG